RNAcentral lists this ribosomal RNA (469 nucleotides) under uncultured bacterium. RNAcentral's name for it is "partial 16S ribosomal RNA". It matches the Rfam family "Bacterial small subunit ribosomal RNA", at positions 28 to 507 of the family's 1533-position model. The record is from RNAcentral.
GACGAACGCUGGCGGCGUGCUUAACACAUGCCAGUCGAACGGAAAGGCCCUGCUUGCAGGGUGCUCGAGUGGCGAACGGGUGAGUAACACGUGGGUGAUCUGCCCCUUACUUUGGGAUAAGCCUGGGAAACUGGGUCUAAUACUGGAUAGGACCAUGCUGUAGGUGGUGUGGUGGAAAGAUUAGUUUCGGUAAGGGAUGAGCUCGCGGCCUAUCAGCUUGUUGGUGGGGUAAUGGCCUACCAAGGCGUCGACGGGUAGCCGGCCUGAGAGGGUGGACGGCCACAUUGGGACUGAGAUACGGCCCAGACGCCUACGGGAGGCAGCAGUGGGGAAUAGUGCACAAUGGGCGCAAGCCUGAUGCAGCGACGCCGCGUGGGGGAUGACGGCCUUCGGGUUGUAAACUCCUUUCAGCCAUGACGAAGCCCUUGUGGUGACGGUAGUGGUAGAAGAAGCACCGGCUAACUACGUG